GUAGGUGGCAAGCGUUGUCCGGGAAUUAUUGGGGCGUGAAGCGCGCGCAGGCGGUUCUUUAAGUCUGAUGUGAAAGCCCACGGGCUCAACCGUGGAGGGUCAUUGGAAACUGGAGAACUUGAGUACAGAAGAGGAAAGCGGAAUUCCACGUGUAGCGGUGAAAUGCGUAGAGAUGUGGAGGAACACCAGUGGCGAAGGCGGCUUUCUGGUCUGUAACUGACGCUGAGGCGCGAAAGCGUGGGGAGCAAACGGGAUUAGAUACCCUGGUAGUCCACGCCGUAAACGAUGAGUGCUAAGUGUUAGGGGGUUUCCGCCCCUUAGUGCUGCAGCUAACGCAUUAAGCACUCCGCCUGGGGAGUACGGCCGCAAAGGCUGA
Molecule: ribosomal RNA, 376 nt
Filed under: uncultured organism
Description: partial 16S ribosomal RNA
Rfam family: Bacterial small subunit ribosomal RNA
Source: RNAcentral